GGGAAAACUGAGCUGAUAUCAGUAGUCAGAAUUCUACUCAGAAGUGUAGGAUGAGAGAAGUGUAUGAUGAUAGAAGAGUAUGAGGAGAGAAGUGUAUGAUGAUAGAAGAGUAUGAGGAGAGAAGUGUAUGAUGAGAGAAGUGUAGGAUGAGAGAAGUGUAUGAGGAGAGAAGUGUAUGAUGAGAGAAGUGUAUGAUGAGAGAAGUGUAUGAUGAUAGAAGAGUAUGAGGAGAGAAGUGUAUGAUGAGAGAAGAGUAUGAGGAGAGAAGUGUAUGAGGAGAGAAGUGUAUGAGGAGAGAAGUGUAUGAUGAGAGAAGUGUAUGAGGAGAGAAGUGUAUGAUGAGAGAAGUGUAUGAGGAGAGAAGUGUAUGAUGAGAGAAGUGUAUGAGGAGAGAAGU
RNAcentral lists this long non-coding RNA (397 nucleotides) under Salmo salar (Atlantic salmon). RNAcentral's name for it is "lncRNA (ENSSSAG00000085564.1)". The record is from RNAcentral. Lineage: Eukaryota; Metazoa; Chordata; Actinopteri; Salmoniformes; Salmonidae.